CAAAGAUUAAGCCAUGCAUGUCUAAGUAUAAGCAAUUUAUACAGCGAAACUGCGAAUGGCUCAUUAAAUCAGUCAUAAUCAACUUGGCAUAAAUUCUACCACCUGGAUAACCGUGGUAAUUCUAGAGCUAAUACAUGCAAGAGAAGUGGCGACGAAAGAAGCCAUGCAUUUAUUAGAUACAAGCCAACUUGGGGUAAAACCCAGUCUUGGUGAAUCAUAAUAACUUGCCGAUCGAGUGAGUCGACAGCUCAAUCGAUUCUCUGCCCUAUCACCGCUUAUCUACGUAGUGUAGUGGACUACUUAGGCAGUUACGGGUAACGGGGAAUAAGGGUUCUAUUCCGGAGAGGGAGCCUGAGAAACGGCUACCACAUCCAAGGAAGGCAGCAGGCGCGCAAAUUACCCAAUCCCGACAUGGGGAGGUAGUGACAAUACAUAACAAUGCAGGACCUUUUAGGUCUUGCAAUUGGAAUGAGUACAAUUUAAAUCCUUUACGAGGAUCAAUUGGAGGGCAAGUCUGGUGCCAGCAGCCGCGGUAAUUCCAGCUCCAAUAGCGUAUAUUAAAGUUGUUGCAGUUAAAACGUCCGUAGUCAAGUGUUUGCCUUUGGACUAGGUUCUCUUCAUUCAGUUGUUGGGAAUAUCUAGGACUAGGCAUUAGCUUAGUUGUGCUCGCCCUUUGGGUUGGGUACAUUUAACUAAGCGUAUUACCAUGAGCAAAUCAGAGUGCUUAAAGCAGGCUUUACAGCUUAAUGUGUUAGCAUGGAAUAAUGAAAUAUGACCCAAGGUCUUUUUCGUUGGUUUCGAGGCCUAAGUAAUGAUAAAUAGGAGUGGUCGGAGGCAUUUGUAUUUGAGCGCUAGAGGUGAAAUUCUUGGAUUGCUCGAAGACAAACUACUGCGAAAGCUUUUGUCCUAGCACAUCUCCGUUGAUCAGGGGCUAAAGUUAGGGGAUCGAAGACGAUUAGAUACCGUCGUAGUCUUAACCACAAACGAUGCCGACUAGAGAUUGGGCUUGUUCAUUACGACUUGCUCAGGAUCUUAGCGAAAGCAAAGUUUUUGGGUUCUGGGGGGAGUACGGCUCGCAAGGCUGAAACUUAAAGGAAUUGACGGAAGGGCACCACCAGGAGUGGAGCCUGCGGCUUAAUUUGACUCAACACGGGGAAACUCACCAGGUCCAGACAUAUGGAGGAAUGACAGAUUGAAAGCUCUUUCUUGAUUAUAUGGGUGGUGGUGCAUGGCCGUUCUUAGUUCGUGGAGUGAUUGUCUGGUUAAUUCCGAUAACGAACGAGACCUUAUUCUGCUAAAUAGCCAGGCCAACUUUUUAGUUGGUCGACCUUGGUCUUACUGGCUUCUUAGAGAGACUAUCGACUUUAAGUCGAAGGAAGUUUGAGGCAAUAACAGGUCUGUGAUGCCCUUAGAUGUUCUGGGCCGCACGCGCGCUACACUGACAAAGGCAGCGAGUUAUAACCUUGGCUGGAAAGCUUGGGUAAACUUUUGAAACUUUGUCGUGCUGGGAUAGAGCAUUGCAAUUAUUGCUCUUCAACGAGGAAUUCCUAGUAAGCGCAAGUCAUCAGCUUGCGUUGAUUACGUCCCUGCCCUUUGUACACACCGCCCGUCGCUACUACCGAUUGAAUGGUGCGAGCAAGUAUUUGGGAUCGUCUUGGUCAAGUCGGCAACGACUAGACCGAGUGCGGCGGUCAUUUGGCUGUCCACGAGAACUUUUCGCAAGCUUCACUAUUUAGAGGAAGUAAAAGUCGUAACA
This 1756-nucleotide ribosomal RNA is filed under the name Dichotomocladium elegans. RNAcentral's name for it is "SSU rRNA". It matches the Rfam family "Eukaryotic small subunit ribosomal RNA". The record is from RNAcentral. Lineage: Eukaryota; Fungi; Mucoromycota; Mucoromycetes; Mucorales; Lichtheimiaceae.